AUUUAUCUCUAAAUGGAUUGAGACCUGUAUCAGAUAUGUUUUGGUUCACAACUUGAAGGAGAUAGAUGAUGCAGUGACUGAUGUGUUUGCCUAUGGUGAUAAACAAGCAACUCCGCAGGACUCAAAUACAUUCCUGGGUUACCAACAAAGACAUCACAACCACCCUGACUACAUCUUUGGCAGCAGGUUAAACCACUGAAUUUCGGGGAGCUGUUGAGGAGAAGCUGAGUGCCUUGUGGAAGAACACACCGUGAGGAGGAGCCUGAGAGAGCUGGUCACUGAGAAAAUCAUCAUCCGAGAAGAAGUGGUGACAUUGUGUGCUUAGAGGAGUGUGAUUCCUCCCUUUUCUCUACCUGCCUUAUGAAACACUCAGUAAAUUCUACUUUUCCCACUACCUCUUUUGGUGUGAGCAGUUUAUUUUAGAGCCCUCCAAAGAGGUACUGUGGUCCUUCACAAGGUUGGCAGGGUGGAAGAAGGUGGAGGAAGACCAGUUAGGGAUUAACCAGACACCUGAAAAGACUUUCUAUCUUUUCUUUACCUAUUCAUUUAUUAUCCUCCUGUCAUCUCUUUCCCCUUGAGCCUAUUCAAGGAUCUCCCCUCUCUCACGUUUCCAUCUCUGGCUCCCUCAUGGGCUCCUCUUCCUCCGAGGUCAACAGGUCUUUGCUCGUCCCCACUGUCGAGUUUCCUAGAGUCAGCCGUCACGACUGGGGUCAAUAGAGAGAACUAUAAGCUGCCUCUCACAAAAUAGCCAAUAAUGGUACUACAACUUACUGAGUUUUUAUAUAUAUUGAUUGUGGUGCUAGGUACCUCACAUAUAUAAUUUCAGUUAGUCUUUUUAACUACUCUGUAUAGCAAAUAUUAUUAUUGCUUUGUCACAGAAAGCAAACUGAGAGUCACUGGCUUGAUGUUCCAUGGGCUUGAACUAUUUUUACUUCCAAACAGGCUGCUAGUUAAAGUCAGGACAGUCGAUAGGCAGGAGGAUGAUAAGAGCACAGCGGCUGAGGCCAGGCAUGGUGGCUCAUGCCUAUAAUCCCAGCACUUUGGGAGACCAAG
This 1053-nucleotide long non-coding RNA is filed under the name Homo sapiens (human). Its description in RNAcentral is "HSALNT0201326". The record is from RNAcentral. Lineage: Eukaryota; Metazoa; Chordata; Mammalia; Primates; Hominidae.